This 468-nucleotide ribosomal RNA is filed under the name uncultured bacterium. Its description in RNAcentral is "partial 16S ribosomal RNA". It matches the Rfam family "Bacterial small subunit ribosomal RNA", at positions 28 to 507 of the family's 1533-position model. The record is from RNAcentral.
GACGAACGCUGGCGGCGUGCUUAACACAUGCAAGUCGAACGGAAAGGCCCUGCUUUUGUGGGGUGCUCGAGUGGCGAACGGGUGAGUAACACGUGAGUAACCUGCCCUUGACUUUGGGAUAACUUCAGGAAACUGGGGCUAAUACCGGAUAGGAGCUCCUGCUGCAUGGUGGGGGUUGGAAAGUUUCGGCGGUUGGGGCUGGACUCGCGGCUUAUCAGCUUGUUGAUGGGGUAGUGGCUUACCAAGGCUUUGACGGGUAGCCGGCCUGAGAGGGUGACCGGCCACAUUGGGACUGAGAUACGGCCCAGACUCCUACGGGAGGCAGCAGUGGGGAAUAUUGCACAAUGGGCGGAAGCCUGAUGCAGCAACGCCGCGUGCGGGAUGACGGCCUUCGGGUUGUAAACCGCUUUCGCAUGUGACGAAGCGUGAGUGACGGUAAUGGGUAAAGAAGCACCGGCUAACUACGUG